Molecule: long non-coding RNA, 1765 nt
Organism: Pan troglodytes (chimpanzee)
Lineage: Eukaryota; Metazoa; Chordata; Mammalia; Primates; Hominidae
Exons: 2
Source: RefSeq, a predicted model, not a curated record
AUAGCCCAUGUGAACAUCUCUACCAUAAUCCUCCACACUUAGCAGGUGCUCAAUCCAUGUUCCUUUCCCCCUCCGCUGCUCUUUCAGAAUAUCCUGAAUAUAGUGGCCCGUCUUUAAUGUGUCAGGUUCAUGUUAGCAUUACUGCUAAUUAACGACUGACUAUGAUGCAGCGCUGUGGUAGUGGAGCUCUCGACGCUUAGUGAAGUGAUUGAGGAUAUUUGUGUCUAUACUACACGAGCCCAGGUUUUUCAGCAGCACUAUUUUUUAUAUUCAAAGUUUCCCAUGUUAAUCCAGAAAAGCAUAAAUUCCAAAUCUUUAAUUUAAAAUACUGUGGUAAGUAUAUGCCCUAGGUGGCAUCAAGGCUACCAGGAAGCUGUGCUGUUUUCUGGGGAGUAGUAACUCCCUCACUGUGUCCUUCCACUGGGCAUGUGUCACUGUCUCAGUUGUGGAGGGAUAUGGGGAAGCAGGUCAGUGAGAGGGCGGUGAUGUUAACUUAUCCCAGUUAACACCUAUUCUUUCACUGCCUCAAGAAUGAAUCCCUGAGGAUAUUAAUGAACAUGUUACCAAUCUAGAAACAAAUAAUCCUGAGUAAGUAAUUCUGUUACCCGAAUCAAUGAGAAAUAAAUAAUCCAACGCAUUCACUUUCCACCUCCGUUAAUCAUUCUAGUUUUUAACUUCGUUUUACCAAAAGAAGGAAUAUCACUCCUGUUUUCUCCUGUGGUCAUAGUGGUGCUAUCAUGAGUGCCAGAGAUGUGUUCUGCAGACUUGACCACGGUGCAUGCAGCCUGUGUGUACACGUGUAGCCCUACACCAGCAGUCCAGGCAGCUCCCCACUCACCUCUCUGUUUGGAAGGCUCCUCCUCCUCCGUCGGCUCUGACGGGUCGUAAUAGUCGCUACCGUAAGUGAACCCCACGGCAUUGUAGCUCCCAUCCUCUGCUAGUGCUUCACUCAAUCGCUUGUAUUCUUCCUCUUGAAUAAAAAUGAGAAUUUUAUCAACAAAAAUAGAAAAUUACUGAGAAAAACUUUAUAUAUUUCUAAAGUUGUAGCUAUCAGUAAAGCAUACAACAUACUUUUUUCAACCUACUUUUGAGGUAAAAUAUUUUUAAAAAUUCACACUUUAUAUCUAUCAAUAUGUACUUUUGUCAGUACAUGUUUACCCACAGACAGCUGAAUACACGUCUUUUGUGGAAAAUUUCUUCCUGCUGAGAAAAUUUUGGGAUUAAGAACUGUAUUAAAGACUGUUACGGCAAAGACAAGAACAUCAAUUUUAUUUAUACGAUACUGUUAAAGAAGAACAGUUAAAGAGUUUGGUUUUUGUUUUUUUCAAAUCCCAGUCUGCCCUCAAAAGCUGGGAAAAUUCUUUGUGGCUCUAUAUAUAAACUAUCCUGAGGUCCUCUCAGAACGCAAAGACUCCUGUUUUUCCAAUCCACUGGGUACUGUCAAGAUAAUAUCAGAAAGAGUGAGUAUAAAAAAAUGAAUGGGAGUAAAUUUUUAAAUACUUAAAAAUUUUAAAAAGUUUGUUGCUGAAGUAAGUUUGUCUUGAGCAGUACCUUGCCUUGCCUCCUCCUCAAGCAAGUCCGUAUGCAAGGCUAAAUACCUCUCUUCAUCACACAGGGCCUCUAUUCGCGCCUCCUCUUCAGACAGCUGAUAAUCUCUGUUCCACGUGGAAUACUCAGCAUCGUACUCAGAAAGGUCAUGCAGGUGACCACGUCCAUCAUAUCUGUAAUGUGAACAAGCUGGUCAAUAAAAGGAAAUUAACGUCUA